RNAcentral lists this long non-coding RNA (1899 nucleotides) under Homo sapiens (human). RNAcentral's name for it is "HSALNT0208628". The record is from RNAcentral. Lineage: Eukaryota; Metazoa; Chordata; Mammalia; Primates; Hominidae.
GAGGGACCUGGUGGAAGAUCUUUUGAAUCAUGGGAGCAGUUUUGCCCAUAUUGUUUUCAUGGUAGUGAAUAAGUGUCACGAGAUCUGAUGGUUUUAUCAGGGGUUUCUGCUUUUGCAUCUUCCCCAUUUUCUCUUGCUCCCACCAUGUAAGAAGUGCCUUUUGCUUCCCACCAUGAUUCUGAGGCCUCCCCAGCCAUGUGGAACUGUAAGUCCAAUUACACUUCUUUUUCUACCCAGUCCAGGUAUAUCUUUGUCAGCAGCAUGAAAAUGGACUAAUACAGUCACAAACACAUAGAACUUAGCAAUUGAUGAAACUUACACAUACAGGACCUCUGACCAAUGAAGGUUGAAAACAAUGGGUAUGCAUGAUAAAGAAAAGAAGCUUUAAUAACCAGAAUAGAUUCACUGAGAAUAAUUCAAAAUAUCACUCGUUUGCCUGAGGAAAAUUCACAUCUUAAUUACUUUGAGGAAAUCUCCAAGUGCACUGACAUUAUCAAUAGGUCAGUACAGGUCAUUCCUUGCUACCUGUAGAAAUGGACGCCCACCGUACCUGAUGCCAAUGAAACACAACUGUGGCACUCAAUGCUGGAGACCUGUGAUGCUUUUGUGAAUAGAGAGGCAGAUGGAUCCCUCUGCUUAUGCUACAAUAAAUCUGCUCGUAUACAAAAGUAUACAGAGGGUAGUGAGGCACCUCUAUCAUUUCACAUACAUUCAGUCCCAUCCUCAGAAAGCACAACUAUCUUCAGUAUAGCUAGGCUAGCUUGACCUGUGGCUUGUCCUCCAUUUCCAUAGUUGGCAAAUGUUAGACCUGUGUAUACCACCAGCAAGUCUCCUUCUUCCCUAUUGGGAAGUUCCACCUCUAGGGAGAUUCUCAUUAUCCUUCCAGCAAUCUGGUUUCCUUUAUUGCCCUGCCAGUCCAUCAGACGUAUGUGAAUAUGGCAGAAGAUGAAUGGAGAACAGGGACUAUGUGUCCCCUGCAGCAAACUUCUCAGCCCCUUUGCAAAUUAGUGGUUACAAAUGGGGAGGAUGGAGUUUGUACAACUUCAUCAGCAUUGGAGCUCUCUCUUUCACCCAUCUAAGACAAGUUGUUACUUACAUUCACAUCACUUCUGUGAAGUUUGAAGGGAUUCUAAAAGAAUCAAUUUAAAAUAAAAAUGAACAGUUAAAUAACUUGUCCAAAAGCACAUAGCACAUGAGUGAACGUGAUGAGCUUUAAAUCUAGAUAUAACUGACUUCAGACGUAUAUUCUUUAUAUAACAACUUUAUUGAGGUGUACUUGUGCAAUACACUGCACAUACUUAGUGUGUACAUUUUUGUAAGUUUUGGUAUGCUAUACACCCAUGAAAUUAUCACCACAGGAAAAUAAGCAUAUAUAUAUAUAUAUAUAAAACAAAAGUUCCCUCAUGUCUUUCUUUCUGCCCCUCCCUGACCACCACCCUCUGCAUCUCAGGCAACUAUUCAUCUAUUUUCUGUCUAUUGAUUAGUUUGCAUUUCCUAGAAUUUUAUAACAAUGAACAUUCAUAGCACACACUUUUUCCCUCAAUUUCUCUCAUUUAGCAUGAUUGAGAUUAUGUUGUUUGUAUACAAACAGUUCAUUCCAUUUAUUGCAUAACAGGGUUCCAUUAUACUGAUAUGACUAUUUAUUCAUUCACCAAUUAAUGAAUAUUUGGGUUGUUUCCAGUUUGGAACCAUUGCAAAUAAAGCUCCUAUAAUCAUUAAAGUGCAAAAUGCAAUCUUCAUUUGAAGAUAAUAUGCUUUUAUUUCUCUUGGAUAACACAGUGGGUGUAUGUUUAAUUUCUUAAGAAACUGCAACACUGUUUUUCAAUGUGGUUCUACCAUUCUACAUUCACACCAGCAGUGUUGAGAAUUCUAAUUCCUCUACAUCUCAACCAAUACUUG